Molecule: ribosomal RNA, 226 nt
Filed under: uncultured bacterium
Lineage: Bacteria
Description: partial 16S ribosomal RNA
Rfam family: Bacterial small subunit ribosomal RNA
Source: RNAcentral
GCCUUGGAGUGGGAAUAACAGUUGGAAACAGCUGCUAAUACCGCAUAAUGCAGUUGAGUCGCAUGGCUCUGACUGCCAAAGAUUUAUCGCUCUGAGAUGGACUCGCGUCUGAUUAGCUAGUUGGUGGGGCAAUGGCCCACCAAGGCGACGAUCAGUAGCCGGACUGAGAGGUUGGCCGGCCACAUUGGGACUGAGACACGGCCCAGACUCCUACGGAAGGCAGCAG